UGCCCGGUGGUGUAGUGGUAGCACACGGGACUUUGGCUCCCGUGACCCAGGUUCGAAUCCUGGCCGGGCAGCCA
RNAcentral lists this transfer RNA (74 nucleotides) under Dehalococcoidia bacterium. RNAcentral describes it as "tRNA-Gln". It matches the Rfam family "tRNA". From Rfam's summary of the family: Transfer RNA (tRNA) molecules are approximately 80 nucleotides in length. Their secondary structure includes four short double-helical elements and three loops (D, anti-codon, and T loops). Further hydrogen bonds mediate the characteristic L-shaped molecular structure. tRNAs have two regions of fundamental functional importance: the anti-codon, which is responsible for specific mRNA codon recognition, and the 3' end, to which the tRNAs corresponding amino acid is attached (by aminoacyl-tRNA synthetases). tRNAs cope with the degeneracy of the genetic code in two manners: having more than one tRNA (with a specific anti-codon) for a particular amino acid; and 'wobble' base-pairing, i.e. permitting non-standard base-pairing at the 3rd anti-codon position. The record is from RNAcentral. Lineage: Bacteria; Bacillati; Chloroflexota; Dehalococcoidia. RNAcentral also lists the same sequence under 1 other name.